GAUGAAGAACGUAGCGAAAUGCGAUAAGUAGUGUGAAUUGCAGAAUUCAGUGAAUCAUCGAAUCUUUGAACGCACAUUGCGCCCCUUGGUAUUCCAUGGGGCAUGCCUGUUCGAGCGUCAUUUGUACCUUCAAGCUCUGCUUGGUGUUGGGUGUUUGUCUCGCCUCUGCGUGUAGACUCGCCUUAAAACAAUUGGCAGCCGGCGUAUUGAUUUCGGAGCGCAGUACAUCUCGCGCUUUGCACUCAUAACGACGACGUCCAAAAGUACAUUUUUACACUCUUGACCGCGGAUCAGGUAGGGAUACCCGCUGAACUUAAGAAUAUCAAUAAGCGGAGGA
Molecule: unclassified non-coding RNA, 337 nt
Filed under: soil metagenome
Description: partial contains 5.8S ribosomal RNA, internal transcribed spacer 2, and large subunit ribosomal RNA
Rfam family: 5.8S ribosomal RNA (bases 1-120)
Source: RNAcentral